RNAcentral lists this ribosomal RNA (278 nucleotides) under uncultured bacterium. RNAcentral's name for it is "partial 16S ribosomal RNA". It matches the Rfam family "Bacterial small subunit ribosomal RNA", at positions 506 to 784 of the family's 1533-position model. The record is from RNAcentral.
UGCCAGCCGCCGCGGUAAUACAGAGGGUGCAAGCGUUAAUCGGAAUUACUGGGCGUAAGCGCGCGUAGGUGGUCCAGUAAGAUGGAAGUGAAAUCCCCGGGCUUAACCUGGGAACUGCUUUCAUAACUGCUGAGCUAGAGUACGGUAGAGGGUAGUGGAAUUUCCUGUGUAGCGGUGAAAUGCGUAGAUAUAGGAAGGAACACCAGUGGCGAAGGCGGCUAACUGGACCGGAACUGACGCUGAUGCACGAAAGCGUGGGUAGCAAACAGGAUUAGAUA